GAGAUAGUUACAACGAACUGCUAAUUCACAGCCCCGGACUAAACCCCCGGCCAUCUCU
This 58-nucleotide transfer RNA is filed under the name Heteronotia binoei (common prickly gecko). RNAcentral describes it as "tRNA-Ser". The record is from RNAcentral. Lineage: Eukaryota; Metazoa; Chordata; Lepidosauria; Squamata; Gekkonidae.